Molecule: ribosomal RNA, 106 nt
Filed under: uncultured bacterium
Lineage: Bacteria
Description: partial 16S ribosomal RNA
Rfam family: Bacterial small subunit ribosomal RNA
Source: RNAcentral
CCUUGUACACACCGCCCGCCACGUCAUGGGAGUCGGUAACACCUGAAGUCGGUGAGCUAACCCGCAAGGGGGGCAGCCGCCCAAGGUGGGACUAGCGACUGGGACG